Molecule: transfer RNA, 89 nt
Filed under: archaeon HR06
Lineage: Archaea
Description: tRNA-Ser
Rfam family: tRNA
About the family: Transfer RNA (tRNA) molecules are approximately 80 nucleotides in length. Their secondary structure includes four short double-helical elements and three loops (D, anti-codon, and T loops).
Source: RNAcentral
GCUGGGGUUGCCUAGCCAGGUAAGGCGCAGGCCUGGAGAGCCUGUGACCCGAAAGGGUCUCGUGGGUUCAAAUCCCACCCCCAGCGCCA